This 24-nucleotide unclassified non-coding RNA is filed under the name Mus musculus (house mouse). RNAcentral's name for it is "oocyte_clustered_small_RNA9941". Lineage: Eukaryota; Metazoa; Chordata; Mammalia; Rodentia; Muridae. The record is from RNAcentral.
CAGGGAAGUGAGCAAGGCUGUGAA